CCUACGGGUGACUGCAGUGAGGAAUAUUGGUCAAUGGCCGUAAGGCUGAACCAGCCAAGUAGCGUGAGGGAAGACUGCCCUAUGGGUUGUAAACCUCUUUUAUGCGGGGAUAAAGGUGUCCACGUGUGGAUGUUUUCAGGUACCGCAUGAAUAAGGACCGGCUAAUUCCGUGCCAGCAGUCGCGGUAAUACGGAGGGUCCGGGCGUUAUCCGGAUUUAUUGGGUUUAAAGGGAGCGUAGGCCGGUCUUUAAGCGUGCCGGGAAAUUUUGUGGCUCAACCAUGAGAGUGCGGCGCGAACUGGAGACCUUGAGUGCGCGGAAGGCAGGCGGAAUUCGUGGUGUAGCGGUGAAAUGCUUAGAUAUCACGAAGAACCCCGAUUGCGAAGGCAGCCUGCCGCAGCGUUACUGACGCUGAAGCUCGAAAGCGCGGGUAUCGAACAGGAUUAGAUACCCUUGUAGUC
Molecule: ribosomal RNA, 460 nt
Filed under: uncultured bacterium
Lineage: Bacteria
Description: partial 16S ribosomal RNA
Rfam family: Bacterial small subunit ribosomal RNA
Source: RNAcentral